UGUACUAACAAGAUGCCCUCAACAUGUCUAUCUUGAGUUGUUGGACUCUAAAAGUGUCGUAUAUGUAUAAUUCACAGUAUACAUUCAUAUACCAUUGGAUUCAAUGUCUUAACUUAUUCCUUAUGUAGAAUGAAUGGAGGUACAAAGAUGCAGGAUGGAGGGCAUCGACCAUGUGGGAUUCAUCGACCCACAUCAUGUAAACCGAACAAUGAUGCAAUCCGAUCCAAAAGAAACUAAGGACUAUGCAUUGAAGUGUAUUCUGGAGUUAAAUUGAAGAGAUACAUACUUUUGCCCUGCACUUUGGUUAUCACUGGAUCCUCCUUGUCAUCCAGCCAAACAUUAGCAAGAUCGUUGUCUUCGACUCACAAAAUAAUCCAAAAGAAACCUACUAACACGUCAUUGACUUGCUACAAAAAGUGUACCUACGAUACAUCAAGAAGAAUGUUAGACAUCGGCCAUUCGCGAAAGAAUGGAUUGUCCAACAUGACUUUCCUUGUAAGAAGUAGGGCCCGGAUAAUAAUUUAUAUGGUUUUUAUGUAAUGGAAUUCAUCCACAGAUUCAAUGAAGACGCGUCAUAUUAGGUGGUCGAUGCCGAGCUCCUCAUGUUGUCCAGAGAUCGACUCAUGGCCAUUGAAAUCAACACACUUCAAGAACAAAUUAUCAGGUUCAUCAAUGACCAAGUCAUCGGUCCAACCAGCG
Phragmites australis (common reed) is the source of this 699-nucleotide long non-coding RNA. RefSeq lists it as uncharacterized. Lineage: Eukaryota; Viridiplantae; Streptophyta; Magnoliopsida; Poales; Poaceae. The record is from RefSeq and is a predicted model, not a curated record. The transcript has 4 exons.